AGCAGGAUGUGGGUGGGGCCAAAUAAGGGAAUAAAACCUGGCCACCCGAAUCCGCAGCGGUCACUGGCUCUGGUCCCUUUCUUAACUGUGGGAGGUUAUUUGUUUUGCUCUUCGCAGUGAAUCUUGCUGCUGAUCGUGUUUGGGUCUUCACUACCUUUAAAAGUUGGAACACUCACUGUGAAGGUUUGUGGCUUUACUCCUGAAGCCAGCAAGACCACGAACCCACUAGAAGGAGGAAACUCCAGGCACGUCUGAACAUCUGAAGGAGCAAACUCUGGACACACCAUCUUUGAGGAAACUGUAACAUUCACUGCGUGGGUCCACAGCUUCAUUCUUGGAGUCAGCGAGACCGAGAACACACCAGAAGGAACCACUUCUGGACACACCAGCACUUUGGGAGGCUGAGGCAGGUGGAUCACCUCAGGUCAGGAGUUCAAGACAAGCUUGCUCAAUAUACUGAAACCCCGUCUUAACUAGAAAUACAAAAAAUUAGCUGGGCAUGGUGGCAGGCGCCUGUAGUCCCAGCUACUCAGGAGGCUGAGGCAGGAGAAUCGCUUGAAGCCAGGAGGCGGAGGUUGCCGUGAGCGGAGAUCGUGCCAUUUCACUCCAGCCUAGGCAACAACAGCAAAACUCCAUCUUAAAAAAAAAAAAGGACCCUGCAGGGAAAGAUCAGUCUACCAAUGCAGGAUGCCAAAUUGACAGGAGAUUCUAUAAAUAGGUGUAUUUCAAUACCUUUAUAAAUCUGAGGAAUAGUGUACCAUUUCAUUUUAUACAUUGACCAAUAGAUUUUUUUUUGCAUUGUUGGCAGAUUGAACUUAGUAAAUAUUUUUGCUUUUAGCAUGGACCUUAAAUCACAAACCACAAAAUACACAGUUCUGUCGUGCGCACUGUUUCCAAAGGGAGAGAAAAUUACCUGCCCAGUCUAAGGUAGUUUAACUUCUGAAAGCGUAGGAAGGUUUAUGUUGACUUGUUUGUUUUUCUUUUGGUGCAAGUUUCACUCCAUCCUUAGUAAUUGCUUUUGGAAAAGACACUUUAACAGAAAAGUAAACUGUUAUACCUGGAAGAUUGAUUAUACGUUUUCUUCCAUUUCUCUGUCCUUAUUAAUUUUCUGUGACAUUUGUGAAAGUCAAUAUAUUGUUCAUUUUUUAUGACGACAUGAAGAAAAUGCUCAGCCGUGAGAACCUUUAAAAAACAAAUGAGGCCGGGCAAGGUGGCUCAUGCCUGUAAUACUAGCACUUUGGGAGGCCGAGGUGGGUGCAUCACGAGGUCAGGAGAUGGAGUCCAUCCUGGCUAACACAGUGAAACCCCGUCUCUACUAAAAAUACAAAAAACUAGCUAGGCGUGGUGGGGGUGCCUGUAGUCGCACCCACUCGCGAGGCUGAGGCAGGAGAAUGGUGUGAACCCAGGAGGCGGAGCUUGCAGUGAGCUGAGAUCGCGCCACUGCACUCCAGCCUGGGUGACAGAGCGAGACUCCUUUUUACAAACAGGGACUCCCUGUCCCGAGUCAAUUGAACAUGUUUAGCCCGAAUAUUUUCUAAUAUGUAUAUGGGUAUUUUAAAGUCUUUUUCUUUCAUUGUGAAUGUUACAUAUGGUUAUUUUUGAAAAUGUAGAAAUUGAAAAAAGAUUUAGGAAGAAAAUAAAAACCAUUAGUAAUUUCUCCAUCCAGAUAUAACCAUUAUUAAUUUUUUUUUUUGCAAUCACUGAUAAAUUAUAUGCUGGUAUGUGCAUAGUAUAUAUGUUCUCUUUGUUGGACACAGUGAUAGCAUUUUCACACAAUUCUACAUUUAUUUUAAUUUACCAAUAUAUCAUGUAGUCACCCUAUAUCAGCAUAUGUAGAGCUACUUUGUUCUUUUUAGAGGCUGUGCAGUGUUCUGUUGUAUUGUCCCUGAAGGUGUUUAGUGUUCUAUUGAUGCCUAUUUAAGUUGUUUUAAAUGUUUCGUUAUUUAAAAUGGGGCACUGAAUAUCCCCGAAUGAUACAAUUUUAUCCACAUGAGUGUAUUUGUAAGAGAAAGUUCUAGAAGCAGAAUGCAGGGUCAGAGAAUGUGCAUUUGUAAGUUUGAUAGAUUGCUCUCCAGAGAGGUUGUAGCAAUGAAUACUUCCAUCAGCAAAGUUUCAAACUGUCUGCUUUCCCACACACUCAUGCUAUCAAACACUUUGGACCUUGUCAUUCCAAUAGGUGAUACUUGUUAUAUCAUUUAAUUUGCAUUUCUCAUUAUGAAAGAGUUUGAACAUCUCUUCCUGUGUUUAAAAACUAUUUUAAUUUCAUUUUCUUUGUAUUCACUCUUCAAUCUCUUAGCCAUUUUUCUAUAUUUUCUGUCAUAUUUUUAACAUUUACUUUUAGGCACCUUUUAAAGAGUAAAGAACAUAGCCCUUUGACUCUAAUGUGCUUGCAAAUUGUUUUUUCCUUUCCAUUUUGUAAUGAGUGUUUUUAAUAUUAAUGAUGUUCUCCCCC
RNAcentral lists this long non-coding RNA (2452 nucleotides) under Homo sapiens (human). RNAcentral describes it as "HSALNT0301630". Lineage: Eukaryota; Metazoa; Chordata; Mammalia; Primates; Hominidae. The record is from RNAcentral.